UAUCUAUAAAUUUUUUAUUUCCUUAGCACCUUCAAAGCCACACUCUUUAUAAGCUAUAUAGAU
Molecule: transfer RNA, 63 nt
Filed under: Cassida sp. EMHAU-15090501
Lineage: Eukaryota; Metazoa; Arthropoda; Insecta; Coleoptera; Chrysomelidae
Description: tRNA-Phe
Source: RNAcentral